UAUCUUUGCACCCGAAUUACAUAAUAAUCAUUUAAAAUAAUAUUGGCAUG
This 50-nucleotide non-coding RNA is filed under the name Crocinitomix catalasitica. RNAcentral describes it as "S15-Flavobacteria ribosomal protein leader". It matches the Rfam family "S15-Flavobacteria ribosomal protein leader". RNAcentral also lists the same sequence under 1 other name. The record is from RNAcentral. Lineage: Bacteria; Pseudomonadati; Bacteroidota; Flavobacteriia; Flavobacteriales; Crocinitomicaceae.